This 158-nucleotide unclassified non-coding RNA is filed under the name uncultured Helotiales. Its description in RNAcentral is "sequence contains ITS1". The record is from RNAcentral. Lineage: Eukaryota; Fungi; Ascomycota; Leotiomycetes; Helotiales.
CAGAGAACAUCGCCCUCACGGGUGACUCUCCAACCCAAUGUUAUUCUACCUUUGUUGCUUUGGCGAGCCGCCUCCGCCACCGGCUCGCGCUGGUGAGUGCUCGCCAGAGGACCCAAAACUCUGAAUUACAGUAUUGUCUGAGUACUAUAUAAUAGUUA